GAUGAUGAUGAUGUUGAUCAGAAUAAUUAUAACGUCGAUGGUGAUGAUGAUGAUGAUGAUCACAGUUGUGAUAAUGAUGAUGGUCGUCA
Molecule: non-coding RNA, 89 nt
Organism: Octopus bimaculoides (California two-spot octopus)
Lineage: Eukaryota; Metazoa; Mollusca; Cephalopoda; Octopoda; Octopodidae
Source: Rfam